CGAGAGGACACAUCCCUGAGGUGCUCCUGUGUUGAUGGUGAUGCUGUUGGAGAAGCACCUGCCCACCCUCACCACCUGAGUUCUGCCAGUGAGGAAGUCCAACACCCACUCUUCAUGCAGAGGCAGCAGGAGGCGCCUGAUAUCAACGUGAAACGCACUGCAGUACUUCAUGCCCUUCCUGUAUACCUGCGGGAGGAGGACCCAGAAUUCUUUUAGACAUGUAAUGCGGACGCAUUGGAUGAGUCGACCCUCAUUGACACUUCAGUUGCCCUUCUCACAGUGGUUACCGAUGGCGCUUCCCAGUCCAGUCCAUUUUACUUCCUCAAGCAUGGCUGUUUUGGUGAAAGGCGACUAGGUGAUGCGUGAUAUUCCCAGAUUUGCAAAUGCAUUUGCUUUAUUGUUUGGCUUGAUCUAUGCUCUGCAUUUAGACUACCCCAGGAAGCUGGUUCACACAUUUGCCUUAGUCCAAAAUAUCUUCAUGGGGCUUGAUGACGGCAAACCCCUGAAACCCCUGCCUACAUGCUCUUAAGGAAUAUAAGGCAAUGUUUGUUAGGACACGCACUCUGUUACUGAGCACUUUGUUUGAAGCAUUUUAAGCACUUUAAGUUUACUACAGGCUUUGAGUGGAUUUAACUCCAUCAGUUUACCUAAUUUUCCUAUACUUGACUGCCUUAUCUGGUUAUUUGGAAGCUGAUCGUCUUUGUACCCAUUUUAAAAAAAUGUUUUUCAUUUCUAUUUUAAAAAAAGUGAUUAGUAUUUGACUUUUUGUUUUGCAUUUUUGUGUAUUUUGAGAAAGAUGCAAUUAGGACUGAUGUCGUCCUUUGUGAUUUUAUAAAAAGAUAAAUGUUCUACACAGAAUUUAUAAUGCUCACUUUAUGGUGCCGAUGUCCAUGUUAGUUGUUUUAUAAAAACAUUUGUGAUGUUUUUAAAUUUUCAUGAAAAAAUGUUAAAUAAACAAAAUGUAAAGUAACUGAAUUUCCGUGCUUUUUUUUUUUUUUAGUAGUCUACACUCA
Long non-coding RNA from Astatotilapia calliptera (eastern happy), 1013 nucleotides. Lineage: Eukaryota; Metazoa; Chordata; Actinopteri; Cichliformes; Cichlidae. The record is from Ensembl.